This is a long non-coding RNA of Psammomys obesus (fat sand rat), 231 nucleotides long. RefSeq lists it as uncharacterized. The record is from RefSeq and is a predicted model, not a curated record. The transcript has 3 exons. NCBI's taxonomy places the organism in Eukaryota, Metazoa, Chordata, Mammalia, Rodentia, Muridae.
UCCGGCCAUCCCUCUCAGCUUCCCUUCCGUCCUCCAUCCUGACCUCCCAGACCCGGCCGGCUGACCUUCGAGGGCCAUCAGAACCAUGUCUCUGCAUCAGUUUCUGCUGGAGCCGAUCACCUGCCAUGCCUGGAACAGGGAUCGCACCCAGAUCGCCUUUAGCCCCAAUAAUCAUGAAGUGUACAUCUACAAGAAGAAUGGGUGUGAGUGGGUGAAAGCUCAUGAGCUGAA